UGGCGAACGGGUGAGUAACGCGUGAGGAACCUGCCUCAAAGAGGGGGGAAACAGUUGGAAACGACUGCUAAUACCGCAUAAGCCCACGGGUCGGCAUCGACCUGAGGGAAAAGGAGCAAUCCGCUUUGAGAUGGCCUCGCGUCCGAUUAGCUAGUUGGUGAGGUAACGGCCCACCAAGGCGACGAUCGGUAGCCGGACUGAGAGGUUGAACGGCCACAUUGGGACUGAGACACGGCCCAG
This 240-nucleotide ribosomal RNA is filed under the name uncultured bacterium. RNAcentral's name for it is "partial 16S ribosomal RNA". It matches the Rfam family "Bacterial small subunit ribosomal RNA", at positions 96 to 334 of the family's 1533-position model. The record is from RNAcentral.